AUUAGCUCAGUUGGCUAGAGUGUCCCGAGGUUGCACUCGGGAAGGUCACCGGUUCGACUCCGGUAUUCUCCA
RNAcentral lists this transfer RNA (72 nucleotides) under Roseivirga sp. RNAcentral describes it as "tRNA-OTHER". It matches the Rfam family "tRNA". From Rfam's summary of the family: Transfer RNA (tRNA) molecules are approximately 80 nucleotides in length. Their secondary structure includes four short double-helical elements and three loops (D, anti-codon, and T loops). Lineage: Bacteria; Pseudomonadati; Bacteroidota; Cytophagia; Cytophagales; Roseivirgaceae. The record is from RNAcentral.